This is a non-coding RNA of Danio rerio (zebrafish), 87 nucleotides long. The record is from Rfam. NCBI's taxonomy places the organism in Eukaryota, Metazoa, Chordata, Actinopteri, Cypriniformes, Danionidae.
CUUUCGAUAGCUCAGUUGGUAGAGCGGAGGACUAUAGCUGGGAUGUUGGCAAUCCUUAGGUCGCUGGUUCGACUCCGGCUCGAAGGA